GUGAAUGUGGCUCAGUAGCAGAGCACUUGCCUAGUAUGUAAGAGGUGCUGGGUUCAGACCAUGCACA
RNAcentral lists this transfer RNA (67 nucleotides) under Ictidomys tridecemlineatus (thirteen-lined ground squirrel). RNAcentral's name for it is "Spermophilus tridecemlineatus (thirteen-lined ground squirrel) tRNA". It matches the Rfam family "tRNA". From Rfam's summary of the family: Transfer RNA (tRNA) molecules are approximately 80 nucleotides in length. Lineage: Eukaryota; Metazoa; Chordata; Mammalia; Rodentia; Sciuridae. The record is from Rfam by way of RNAcentral.